GUAAGGAUUUCAAAAGCUGACAACAUGAAGACGGGUUUCUUCAAAACAGUCAUUUAAUCAACACUUCUCUCUAUUUCACGGACACUGAUGAAAAGACUCGGAAAGAACGCUUGAUAGUACAUACAGGAGAAUACUUGGCGCAGUUCUCGAUGUUUCUUGGCAGCAAUAAUCCCACAAAGCAGAGAUUGUAUGGAAGUUUUCUUACCACCAACUUGUGCUGGAAACCCACACAUGGACAUAGGAGUGUCGGUAGAGAAUCAACUUGUGGAAGACACUGGAUAUGAAGGUUGCUAUGGAAGACCGGGACAUCUGUUUUUCUUCAGACACACAUUAUGCCACGGAAAAGGAAGUCCACUUAUGAAAAUACUCCACAUGUACAUAGGAGGAAGCUUCGUCGUCAAUCUGAAAGCUGUGAUGCAACGGACGAACGACUUUCUGGACAAAGAGAGAAGCAAACUGAGUCUCGGCAAAAUGAAACCUUUGGUGAGCGUCAAGAAAAGACAGGAGCAACAUAUAUUUUCGCCAUAUAGUUGCAAGAAGAAAUGAAUCUGAAGAAGAUAGACAAGAGCGUUUUAUUACUGAUAGAAACAGGUAUCAGCUCUUUUCCCUCUACAUAUUCCAUUUUAGUACAUAUUUUUCAUAAGGUUUUUCAAAAACCGAAACAUGUAAAUGUAUUUAUACAAAGGAAAAUUAAAAUGUACCCAAUUUUAAGAAA
Long non-coding RNA from Octopus bimaculoides (California two-spot octopus), 715 nucleotides. The record is from RefSeq and is a predicted model, not a curated record. NCBI's taxonomy places the organism in Eukaryota, Metazoa, Mollusca, Cephalopoda, Octopoda, Octopodidae.